UCAGUAACGGCGAGUGAAGCGGCAACAGCUCAAAUUUGAAAUCUGGCGCCUUGUGCGCCCGAGUUGUAAUUUGUAGAGGAUGUUUCGGGUGCGGCACCGAUCUAAGUUCCUUGGAACAGGGCGUCAUAGAGGGUGAGAAUCCCGUAUGUGACCGGUCGCCUAUCCCAUGUGAAACUCCUUCGACGAGUCGAGUUGUUUGGGAAUGCAGCUCAAAAUGGGUGGUAUAUUUCAUCUAAAGCUAAAUAUUGGCCAGAGACCGAUAGCGCACAAGUAGAGUGAUCGAAAGAUGAAAAGCACUUUGGAAAGAGAGUUAAAAAGUACGUGAAAUUGUUGAAAGGGAAGCGCUUGCGACCAGACUCGCCCGGGGGUGAUCAACCGUCCUUUUGGGCGGUGCACUUUCCCUCGGGCGGGCCAGCAUCGGUUCGGGCGGCUGGAUAAAGGCUUCGGGAAUGUAGCUCCUCUCGGGGAGUGUUAUAGCCCGGGGUGCAAUGCAGCCAGUCUGGACCGAGGACCGCGCUUUUGCUAGGAUGCUGGCGUAAUGGUCGUCAGCGACCCGUCUUGAAACACGGACCAAGGAGUUAACCACCGGUGCGAGUGUUUGGGUGUCAAACCCGUACGCGUAAUGAAAGUGAACGGAGGUGAGAACCCCUUUCGGGGCGCAUCAUCGACCGAUCCUGAUGUCUUCGGAUGGAUUUGAGUAAGAGCACCGUUGGUUUGACCCGAAAGAUGGUGAUCUUUACGCGGAUAGGGUGAAGCCAGAGGAAACUCUGGUGGAGGCUCGCAGCGGUUCU
This 791-nucleotide ribosomal RNA is filed under the name Hormodochis aggregata. RNAcentral describes it as "partial large subunit ribosomal RNA". It matches the Rfam family "Eukaryotic large subunit ribosomal RNA", at positions 80 to 887 of the family's 3401-position model. The record is from RNAcentral. Lineage: Eukaryota; Fungi; Ascomycota.